ACAGCUUUCUGAAUUGAAGAACAAAGGUUAAUGACGCAGGUAAUUGUUUGGCUGACAAAGCCGUGACGAGCGAGCCGCGCAGUGUACUGAAGUACAUGAGCAGCGUAGCGAGGAAACAAUACCGUCAGACGGACAAUUAACCAGUAAGAAUAUGUCUGGUGACAAUAGCAUUGUGGUCCCACCUGAUCCCAUCCCGAACUCAGAAGUGAAACGCAAUCGCGCCGAUGGUAGUGUGGGGUCUCCCCAUGUGAGAGUAGGUCAUCGCCAGAC
This 270-nucleotide ribosomal RNA is filed under the name Shewanella chilikensis. The record is from RNAcentral. Lineage: Bacteria; Pseudomonadati; Pseudomonadota; Gammaproteobacteria; Alteromonadales; Shewanellaceae.